This 55-nucleotide transfer RNA is filed under the name Cherax cainii. RNAcentral describes it as "tRNA-Cys". Lineage: Eukaryota; Metazoa; Arthropoda; Malacostraca; Decapoda; Parastacidae. The record is from RNAcentral.
GUGGAAAAAAGACGUCAAAUUGCAAAUUUGAAGAUGUAUAGAAUACUAAAGCUUG